UACGUAGGGGGCAAGCGUUAUCCGGAAUUACUGAGUGUAAAGGGAGCGUAGACGGUAAUGUAAGUCUGGAGUGAAAGGCGGGGGCCCAACCCCCGGACUGCUCUGGAAACAAUGUUACUAGAGUGCAGGAGAGGUAAGCGGAAUUCCUAGUGUAGCGGUGAAAUGCGUAGAUAUUAGGAGGAACACCAGUGGCGAAGGCGGCUUACUGGACUGUAACUGACGUUGAGGCUCGAAAGCGUGGGGAGCAAACAGG
This 253-nucleotide ribosomal RNA is filed under the name uncultured bacterium. RNAcentral's name for it is "partial 16S ribosomal RNA". It matches the Rfam family "Bacterial small subunit ribosomal RNA", at positions 524 to 776 of the family's 1533-position model. The record is from RNAcentral.